This 253-nucleotide ribosomal RNA is filed under the name uncultured bacterium. RNAcentral describes it as "partial 16S ribosomal RNA". It matches the Rfam family "Bacterial small subunit ribosomal RNA", at positions 524 to 776 of the family's 1533-position model. The record is from RNAcentral.
UACGAAGGGGGCUAGCGUUGUUCGGAAUCACUGGGCGUAAAGGGCGCGUAGGCGGCUUUAUAAGUCGGGGGUGAAAGCCUGUGGCUCAACCACAGAAUUGCCUUCGAUACUGUAGAGCUUGAGACCGGAAGAGGUAAGUGGAACUGCGAGUGUAGAGGUGAAAUUCGUAGAUAUUCGCAAGAACACCAGUGGCGAAGGCGGCUUACUGGUCCGGUUCUGACGCUGAGGCGCGAAAGCGUGGGGAGCAAGCAGG